Molecule: ribosomal RNA, 253 nt
Filed under: uncultured bacterium
Lineage: Bacteria
Description: partial 16S ribosomal RNA
Rfam family: Bacterial small subunit ribosomal RNA
Source: RNAcentral
UACGUAGGGCGCAAGCGUGGUCCGGAAUUAUUGGGCGUAAAGAGCUCGUAGGUGGCUUGUCACGUCGGGUGUGAAAGCUUGGGGCUUAACUCCAGGUCUGCAUUCGAUACGGGCUGGCUAGAGGUAGGUAGGGGAGAACGGAAUUCCUGGUGUAGCGGUGAAAUGCGCAGAUAUCAGGAGGAACACCGGUGGCGAAGGCGGUUCUCUGGGCCUUACCUGACGCUGAGGAGCGAAAGCGUGGGGAGCGAACAGG